UGGGGAAUUUUGGACAAUGGGGGAAACCCUGAUCCAGCCAUCCCGCGUGUGCGAUGAAGGCCUUCGGGUUGUAAAGCACCUUUGGCAGGAAAGAAACGUCAUGGGUUAAUACCCCGUGAAACUGACGGUACCUGCAGAAUAAGCACCGGCUAACUACGUGCCAGCAGCCGCGGUAAUACGUAGGGUGCAAGCGUUAAUCGGAAUUACUGGGCGUAAAGCGUGCGCAGGCGGUUCGGAAAGAAAGAUGUGAAAUCCCAGAGCUCAACUUUGGAACUGCAUUUUUAACUACCGGGCUAGAGUGUGGCAGGGGGAGGUGGAAUUCCGCGUGUAGCAGUGAAAUGCGUAGAUAUGCGGAGGAACACCGAUGGCGAAGGCAGCCUCCUGGGAUAACGCUGACGCUCAUGCGCGAAAGCGUGGAGAGCAAACAG
RNAcentral lists this ribosomal RNA (428 nucleotides) under Acidobacteriota bacterium. RNAcentral's name for it is "Acidobacteria bacterium partial 16S ribosomal RNA". It matches the Rfam family "Bacterial small subunit ribosomal RNA", at positions 355 to 775 of the family's 1533-position model. The record is from RNAcentral. Lineage: Bacteria; Pseudomonadati; Acidobacteriota.